This 253-nucleotide ribosomal RNA is filed under the name uncultured bacterium. RNAcentral describes it as "partial 16S ribosomal RNA". It matches the Rfam family "Bacterial small subunit ribosomal RNA", at positions 524 to 776 of the family's 1533-position model. The record is from RNAcentral.
UACGAAAGGUGCAAGCGUUACUCGGAAUCACUGGGCGUAAAGCGCACGUAGGCGGACUCGCAGGUCAAUUGUGAAAUACCUGGGCUCAACCCGGGAGCUGCAGUUGAAACCGCUUGUCUUGAAUACCUGAGAGGGUGGGGGAAUACCUGGUGGAGAAGUGAAAUUCGUAGAGAUCAGGUGGAACACCGGAGGCGAAGGCGCCUGCCUGGCAGUGUAUUGACGCUGAGGUGCGAAAGUGCGGGGAGCAAACAGG